UCCUCACCCAUCAUCAAGUAUUGUAUCAUAAACUCAGCCGAUAUUCAGUAAUACUAUACUAUGAUGAGAGCAAGGGUUCCACUGCUACUGUUGUUGGGAAUUCUUUUCCUGGCAUCACUUUCUGUCACCUUCGGCAUUGUUCACCGGGAGCACCAACAGAGCCAGGAAGAGUCGGAUUCAAGAGGAAGAAACAACCCCUUCUACUUCAACUCUGACAGGUUCCAUACUCUGUACACAAACGAAUAUGGUCACCUUCGUGUGCUCCAGAGGUUCGACCAACGCUCCAAACAAAUUCAGAAUCUUGAAAACUACCGUCUUGUAGAGUUCAAGUCCAAACCCAACACCCUCCUUCUUCCUCACCAUGCUGAUGCCGAUUUUCUCCUAGUUGUCCUUAACGGUAAGUAAUCAUCUAAUCCCUACUGACUGAACUUCAUCCCACUAGCUUCUCCUGCACGAAUGAUAAUAAUCAAUUUGUUAAUUACAGGGAGAGCCGUACUCACCUUGGUGAAUGCUGACGGCAGAGACUCCUACAUUCUUGAGCAAGGCCAUGCCCAGAGAAUCCCUGCAGGAACCAUUUUCUUUGUGGUUAACCCUAACGACAACGAAAAUCUCAGAAUAAUCAAAAUGGCCGUACCUGUUAACAACCCUCACAGAUUUCAAGUACUACCUUUUGUAAUUCUCAACUAACUUUUUUUAUUCUAACUUGCAUUUUCUCUCUAAAUGUAACGAUAAAUGUUUGUCAUGUAGGACUUUUUCUUAUCUAGCACAGAAGCCCAACAAUCCUACUUGCAAGGGUUCAGCAAGAAUGUUCUAGAGGCCUCCUUCGAUGUAAGCAAGAAAACAACAUCUAAUUACACAUUUGUUUCCAUUUAGGUUUUCUAAUUUUCAGUCUUGUUGAAUGAUAUAUAUAUUUGGCACGAAUUUUGUAGAGUGAGUUCAAGGAGAUAAACAGGGUUCUGUUUGGAGGGGAGGGACAGCAACAGCAAGGCCAGGAGAGUCAGCAAGAGGGAGUGAUUGUGGAACUUGAAAGAGAACAGAUUCGCGAACUGAUCAAACAUGCCAAAUCUAGUUCAAGGAGAGCCCUUUCCUCCCAAGAUGAACCAAUCAACCUGAGAAACCGCAAACCCAUCUACUCCAACAAAUUUGGAAGGUGGUAUGAGAUCACCCCGGAGAAAAACCCCCAACUUAGGGACAUGGACAUGUUCAUCAGUUCUGUGAAUAUGAAAGAGGUAACAGGAAGGAAAACCAUAUCACUGUCGUCUUAAUUAUAAAAUCUUAGUACCGAUGCAAUAAUUAAAUAAUGGUUUCUUUUUUAAAAACUUUAUUAGGGAGGCCUUCUUCUGCCACACUACAAUUCUAAGGCCAUAGUGAUUCUGGUGAUUAAUAAAGGAGAAGCAAACCUUGAACUUGUUGGGCAAAGAGAACAAGAACAAGAGGAAAGCUGGGAAGUGCAGAGGUAUAGAGCUGAGUUGUCUGAAGACGAUGUAUUUAUAAUUCCAGCAACAUAUCCUGUUGCUAUCAACGCUACCUCCAAUCUAAAUUUCUUUGCUUUCGGUAUCAAUGCUGAGAACAACCAGAGGAACUUCCUUGCAGGUAUAUUAUAUGAUAUAUCUCCCUCAAAUUUGAAUACAGUGUUGUUUGUUUUAUGCGACAUGAUGAGUUUGUUGAUUUACGUUUGAAGGUGAGAGAGACAAUGUGAUAAGCGAGAUACCUACAGAGGUGUUGGAUGUGACGUUCCCUGCGUCUGGUGAGAAGGUUGUGAAGCUGGUAAAGAAGCAGAGCGAAUCCUACUUUGUGGAUGCACAGUCUGAGCAAUAAAUAUGAAGUGAAAUGUAUGUAUGGUGGAAGAGCUCAUAUAUAGAGAGCAUGGAAAUAUGUAUCGGCCAUGUAGCAAUAAAUGAGCUCCAGCUCACUUCUUGAAUGAAUAAUAAAGGGUAUAUUUAUUUUUAUAUAUUCCUUUUCUUUAUAAAUACAAUGUUGAAAUUUUUAAUAACCA
This 1996-nucleotide long non-coding RNA is filed under the name Vigna radiata. Its description in RNAcentral is "long non-coding RNA (VRAD_LNC001697)". The record is from RNAcentral. Lineage: Eukaryota; Viridiplantae; Streptophyta; Magnoliopsida; Fabales; Fabaceae.